Molecule: ribosomal RNA, 618 nt
Filed under: uncultured marine eukaryote
Lineage: Eukaryota
Description: SSU rRNA
Rfam family: Eukaryotic small subunit ribosomal RNA
Source: RNAcentral
UUAAAAAGCUCGUAGUCGGAUUUUGGCUGAGAACGGUCGGUCCGCCGUUAGGUGUGCACUGACUGGUCUCAGCUUCCUGGUGAGGAGGUGUGCUUCAUCGCCACUUAGUCACCGUGGUUACUUUGAAAAAAUUAGAGUGUUCAAAGCGGGCUUACGCUUGAAUAUAUUAGCAUGGAAUAACACCAUAGGACUCCUGUCCUAUUUCGUUGGUCCCGGGACGGGAGUAAUGAUUAAGAGGAACAGUUGGGGGCAUUCGUAUUUCAUCGUCAGAGGUGAAAUUCUUGGAUUUAUGAAAGACGAACUUCUGCGAAAGCAUUUGCCAAGGAUGUUUUCAUUGAUCAAGAACGAAAGUUGGGGGCUCGAAGAUGAUUAGAUACCAUCCUAGUCUCAACCAUAAACGAUGCCGACUAGGGAUUGGCGGAUGUUAAUUGAUGACUUCGCCAGCACCUUAUGAGAAAUCAAAGUUUUUGGGUUCCGGGGGGAGUAUGGUCGCAAGGCUGAAACUUAAAGGAAUUGACGGUAGGGCACCACCAGGCGUGGAGCCUGCGGCUUAAUUUGACUCAACACGGGGAAACUUACCAGGUCCAGACAUAGUAAGGAUUGACAGAUUGAGAGCUC